GACGAACGCUGGCGGCGUGCCUAACACAUGCAAGUCGAGCGGGGUUGAGGCGAGAGGUAACUCGAGCUUCUACCUAGCGGCGGACGGGUGAGUAACGCGUGGGCAACCUGCCUCAAGGUUUGGGAUAACAGCCCGAAAGGGCUGCUAAUACCGGAUAUGCCUAUGGCCUCGCAUGGGGCUAUGAGCAAAGGGGAAACCCGCCUUGAGAUGGGCCCGCGUCCCAUCAGCUAGUUGGUGAGGUAACAGCUCACCAAGGCGACGACGGGUAGCCGGCCUGAGAGGGUGACCGGCCACACUGGGACUGAGACACGGCCCAGACUCCUACGGGGGCAGCAGUGGGGGAUCUUGCACAAUGGGCGAAAGCCUGAUGCAGCGACGCCGCGUGAGCGAAGAAGGCCUUCGGGUUGUAAAGCUCUGUCUGGAGGGACGAACAAAAUGACGGUACCUCCGGAGGAAGCCACGGCUAACUACGUG
This 474-nucleotide ribosomal RNA is filed under the name uncultured bacterium. Its description in RNAcentral is "bacterial SSU rRNA". It matches the Rfam family "Bacterial small subunit ribosomal RNA", at positions 28 to 507 of the family's 1533-position model. The record is from RNAcentral.